GGAGGAGGAGGAGCGGAGGCCAAGGCCUCGCCGUGUGGACGGGCACGGAGAGGAUUCGGAGCGGAGUCGGGUCGACCCGCCGGCAAAGGACCCUUAAUAUAUAUCCCCCAGGCUAAUUAUUUCGUUUUCUCUUCUUUGGGUACUCGACGCGUUGCACUGAAAAACAAAGCCAAGCAGAAGAGACUCUGCACAUGCUCUGGAGCAUUGUGUGUUGGCAGGGCGUUUCAAACACACACACACAAGUACGUUAAGUUUGAAAUCCAAAACAUAGGUUGAACACACUCUUUGGGCAGAGCAGCUUUUCCCAUAGUACAGG
This is a non-coding RNA of Podarcis lilfordi (Lilford's wall lizard), 316 nucleotides long. The record is from the annotation of a GenBank genome assembly. NCBI's taxonomy places the organism in Eukaryota, Metazoa, Chordata, Lepidosauria, Squamata, Lacertidae.